AUACGGAGGGUCCAAGCGUUAUCCGGAUUCAUUGGGUUUAAAGGGUCCGCAGGCGGGAAAAUAAGUCAGCGGUGAAGGCCUACAGCUCAACUGUAGAACUGCCAUUGAAACUGUUUUUCUUGAGUAUAGAUGAAGUGGGCGGAAUAUAUCAUGUAGCGGUGAAAUGCAUAGAUAUGAUAUAGAACACCGAUUGCGAAGGCAGCUCACUAAACUAUUACUGACGCUCAGGGACGAAAGCGUGGGGAGCGAACAGGAUUAGAAACCCCAGUAGUCC
Molecule: ribosomal RNA, 274 nt
Filed under: uncultured bacterium
Lineage: Bacteria
Description: partial 16S ribosomal RNA
Rfam family: Bacterial small subunit ribosomal RNA
Source: RNAcentral